GUGGAUUAGAUACCCUAGUAGUCCACGCCCUAAACGAUGAUCACUGGGUGUUCGGGGAGCGAUCUCUGAGUACCGUAGCUAACGCGUGAAGUGAUCCGCCUGGGGAGUACGGUCGCAAGAUUAAAACUCAAAGGAAUUGACGGGGACCCGCACAAGCGGUGGAUGAUGUGGAUUAAUUCGAUGCAACGCGAACAACCUUACCUACCCUUGACAUGUCCGGAAGCCCGGUGAGAGCUGGGGGUGCCCGAAAGGGAACCGGAACACAGGUGCUGCACGGCCGUCGCCAACU
RNAcentral lists this ribosomal RNA (289 nucleotides) under uncultured bacterium. RNAcentral describes it as "partial 16S ribosomal RNA". It matches the Rfam family "Bacterial small subunit ribosomal RNA", at positions 773 to 1060 of the family's 1533-position model. The record is from RNAcentral.